GAGUUUGAUCCUGGCUCAGAACGAACGCUGGCGGCGUGGAUAAGACAUGCAAGUCGAACGAGAGAAUUGCUAGCUUGCUAAUAAUUCUCUAGUGGCGCACGGGUGAGUAACACGUGAGUAACCUGCCCCCGAGAGCGGGAUAGCCCUGGGAAACUGGGAUUAAUACCGCAUAGUAUCGAAAGAUUAAAGCAGCAAUGCGCUUGGGGAUGGGCUCGCGGCCUAUUAGUUAGUUGGUGAGGUAACGGCUCACCAAGGCGAUGACGGGUAGCCGGUCUGAGAGGAUGUCCGGCCACACUGGAACUGAGACACGGUCCAGACACCUACGGGUGGCAGCAGUCGAGAAUCAUUCACAAUGGGGGAAACCCUGAUGGUGCGACGCCGCGUGGGGGAAUGAAGGUCUUCGGAUUGUAAACCCCUGUCAUGUGGGAGCAAAUUAAAAAGAUAGUACCACAAGAGGAAGAGACGGCUAACUCUGUGCCAGCAGCCGC
RNAcentral lists this ribosomal RNA (488 nucleotides) under uncultured bacterium. Its description in RNAcentral is "bacterial SSU rRNA". It matches the Rfam family "Bacterial small subunit ribosomal RNA", at positions 9 to 518 of the family's 1533-position model. The record is from RNAcentral.